Molecule: ribosomal RNA, 520 nt
Filed under: uncultured bacterium
Lineage: Bacteria
Description: bacterial SSU rRNA
Rfam family: Bacterial small subunit ribosomal RNA
Source: RNAcentral
AAUAGAUACCCAGGUAGUCCACGCCGUAAACGAUGUCGACUUGGAGGUUGUUCCCUUGAGGAGUGGCUUCCGGAGCUAACGCGUUAAGUCGACCGCCUGGGGAGUACGGCCGCAAGGUUAAAACUCAAAUGAAUUGACGGGGGCCCGCACAAGCGGUGGAGCAUGUGGUUUAAUUCGAUGCAACGCGAAGAACCUUACCUACUCUUGACAUCCAGAGAACUUAGCAGAGAUGCUUUGGUGCCUUCGGGAACUCUGAGACAGGUGCUGCAUGGCUGUCGUCAGCUCGUGUUGUGAAAUGUUGGGUUAAGUCCCGCAACGAGCGCAACCCUUAUCCUUUGUUGUCAGCGGUUCGGCCGGGAACUCAAAGGAGACUGCCAGUGAUAAACUGGAGGAAGGUGGGGAUGACGUCAAGUCAUCAUGGCCCUUACGAGUAGGGCUACACACGUGCUACAAUGGCGCAUACAAAGAGAAGCGACCUCGCGAGAGCAAGCGGACCUCAUAAAGUGCGUCGUAGUCCGGA